GACGAACGCUGGCGGCGUGCUUAACACAUGCAAGUCGAACGCUGAAGCACCAGCUUGCUGGUGUGGAUGAGUGGCGAACGGGUGAGUAAUACGUGAGUAACCUGCCCUUGACUCUGGGAUAAGCCCGGGAAACUGGGUCUAAUACUGGAUGCUACAUGUCACCGCAUGGUGGUGUGUGGAAAGGGUUUACUGGUCUUGGAUGGGCUCACGGCCUAUCAGCUUGUUGGUGAGGUAAUGGCUCACCAAGGCGACGACGGGUAGCCGGCCUGAGAGGGUGACCGGCCACACUGGGACUGAGACACGGCCCAGACUCCUACGGGAGGCAGCAGUGGGGAAUAUUGCACAAUGGGCGAAAGCCUGAUGCAGCGACGCCGCGUGAGGGAUGACGGCCUUCGGGUUGGAAACCUCUUUCAGCAGGGAAGAAGCCACAAGUGACAGUACCUGCAGAAGAAGCGCCGGCUAACUACGUG
RNAcentral lists this ribosomal RNA (470 nucleotides) under uncultured bacterium. RNAcentral's name for it is "partial 16S ribosomal RNA". It matches the Rfam family "Bacterial small subunit ribosomal RNA", at positions 28 to 507 of the family's 1533-position model. The record is from RNAcentral.